ACAAUUUAAACCAUUUGCAGUUGCAAUCACGCUGAAAAACUUAAUAGUUACAACUUUCAACAACGGAUCUCUUGGUUCUGGCAUCGAUGAAGAACGCAGCGAAAUGCGAUAAGUAGUGUGAAUUGCAGAAUUCAGUGAAUCAUCGAAUCUUUGAACGCACAUUGCGCCCCUUGGUAUUCCAUGGGGCAUGCCUGUUCGAGCGUCAUUUGUACCUUCAAGCUCUGCUUGGUGUUGGGUGUUUGUCUCGCCUCUGCGUGUAGACUCGCCUCAAAACAAUUGGCAGCCGGCGUAUUGAUUUCGGAGCGCAGUACAUCUCGCGCUUUGCACUCAUAACGACGACUCCAAAAGUACAUUUUUACACUCUUGACCUCGGAUCAGGUAGGGAU
RNAcentral lists this ribosomal RNA (386 nucleotides) under fungal sp. 60A-T-1b-7. RNAcentral describes it as "eukaryotic LSU rRNA". The stretch from base 52 to 205 matches the Rfam family "5.8S ribosomal RNA". The record is from RNAcentral. Lineage: Eukaryota; Fungi.